GCUCUUCCAAACGAUCUAUUCCAUUUACUAGAAUUUGAGGAUGGAAUACAAGUAGUACCUAAUAAUUGGGUACAAAAAGAUAUCAACAAAUGUUGGUAUCCCAAUUAUAAAACAGAUCAACAGAUAUCAUUAAAGCAAUAAAAGAAACGACAAACGCGUCAAGAUAAUUGGUUGAUGUAUCCAAUUAAAAGAGUAUUUGGUAUAUAUGACUCCUACAGUCAAGCAAUAAACUAAAAAAAGCAGAAAUGAAUUCCGAUAUUAAUACCGAUACUGACGACAAAGCACAAAGAAAAAUCAGAGCCAGAAAACAGAUUGAUAUUGAUGAUGAUGAAAGCGAUGAUGAUCAUGAUAGUGAUCCUCUCCGCCUACCAUCAUAUCCGAAAGCGCCUAUAGUUGUUUAUACGAAUACGUACACAGGAGAUGCACGCAACAUACCCAAAAAGGAGCUAAAGAAUAUAUUAAAAUUAAGUAGGCCAAUUCAAUAUAGUAUAUUUUCAGUCAAGAUGUCAAUUAGCAAUUCUUUAACUGACUAUUUUUUAUUUUAAAUAAUCUGUAUUGUAAAAUUUUUUAAAUAUAUGUAUAUACACUGCUAAUACAAUUAUUCCCGUAGUCCUGAUAUUACUGCCAACACUGAAAAUCUAUAGGUCACGUUACGUGAACUAUAGAUUUCCAGUACUGGCAGUAAUAUCGGAACACGGCCUUUAUAUACUCUUUUAGAUAUAUACAAAGGAGAUAUCCAAGGAUCUCCCAUCUCCCAUAGAGAGAUACCCAAAAGAGAUAACCAUACACAAAAAGGAAAUGAAGAAUAUAUUACAAUUGAAAAUUAUCUUCAUCAUAUGGAUAGAACGUUAGCAGAUAUAAAAUUUGACAUAAAUCAACUCAUUGAGCAAUAUCAACUUAUAUUGACUAAAAUGAAUUCAAAUAAUGAUUUCAAUCUGACGCGAGAAUGUCAUAGCCCUUUGCCAAAUGAUGAAUGAAGCAAAUUGUCUCUCCCUCUGAAAACUGUAGAAGAACUAGAAUAUUUACAAGGCAUGCUUUUUUCAAAUGAAGAAGGAUUAAAAGAGCGUAUGUUCAGCAUAUUGGCAGCUAUUGGUGGAUGUACUUACGAAGAAAUGGUUAAAAGAAUGCUUAUAUAAUAUAUAUUUUUACGAAUGAAGUAGCUAGUUUGUACAGUUGGGUGGGAGGAAAGGGAAAACGAAAACUUCAUCAUUUAGAGAUAAUGAAAUUAAUGUUUAAAGUCAUCAGGAAGACAUUCCCUAAUGUCACAGAGAAAGAUUUUGAAACAAAAUGUAAAGAUUGGUUUCGACACGCGAAACACAGAUUCGAGAAUGAAAAACGGCGGCAAAGUAAUUCGACGCAGCAAUAACCAGUUGCCAGAAGCAUAAUUUUUACAUCGAAGCAACAAUUAUUAUAUGCAAUUGCUGAACGCUCAUGUGACACCGACGAAUAUUCAUAUAACGCCUGUGCAUCCGAUCAACCGCAGCCGUACAUAUUAAGCUAUCCUAACAUAAGAUUUUAAUUGUCCACAUAUCUGCCAUCAUCGUCCGGGAUUAUGGAAAAGUUUCAACCGCUGAAGGAAGACUUUGCUAUGCUUUAUGUAGCGCUCGAGGAAGAGCUGAAUGUGCAGACGUACAACCACGACAAGAUCGUGUCGUUCGUUGGCUUAGCAUGGGACGCGAUCAUAAGAGAAAAUGUGACUGCAACCGCUCGUAUAGUUUUAUAAUGGACAAUGAAAGUGAAAGUUGUCGAAACGAAGGCAAUAACAGCAAUUUUUGUAUUCGUAAACCAUUUCCAUUACAAAUUAUAUUUAGUUAGUUUUUUUCAAGUCUUUUAGUUAAAUUGAGUCGAAAUAUUAAAGAUCAAAAUAUAUAAAAAGA
This is a long non-coding RNA of Cataglyphis hispanica, 1877 nucleotides long. RefSeq lists it as uncharacterized. The record is from RefSeq and is a predicted model, not a curated record. NCBI's taxonomy places the organism in Eukaryota, Metazoa, Arthropoda, Insecta, Hymenoptera, Formicidae. The transcript is spliced from 7 exons.